UACGUAGGGUGCGAGCGUUGUCCGGAAUUAUUGGGCGUAAAGAGCUCGUAGGCGGUUUGUUGCGUCUAUCGUGAAAACCUGCAGCUUAACUGUGGGCUUGCGGUGGAUACAGGCAGACUUGAGUUCGGUAGGGGAGACUGGAAUUCCUGGUGUAGCGGUGAAAUGCGCAGAUAUCAGGAGGAACACCGGUGGCGAAGGCGGGUCUCUGGGCCGAUACUGACGCUGAGGAGCGAAAGCGUGGGGAGCGAACAGG
This 253-nucleotide ribosomal RNA is filed under the name uncultured bacterium. RNAcentral's name for it is "partial 16S ribosomal RNA". It matches the Rfam family "Bacterial small subunit ribosomal RNA", at positions 524 to 776 of the family's 1533-position model. The record is from RNAcentral.